AUUGAACGCUGGCGGCAGGCUUUACACAUGCAAGUCGAACGAGUGGCGGACGGGUGAGUAAUGUAUGGGAAACUGCCCGGUGGCGGGGGAUAACUACUGGAAACGGUAGCUAAUACCGCAUACUAUCGGAUGUGCCCAUAUGGGAUUAGCUAGUAGGUGGGGUAAAGGCUCACCUAGGCGACGAUCCGUAGCUGGUCUGAGAGGAUGACCAGCCACACUGGGAAUGAGACACGGUCCAGACUCCUACGGGAGGCAGCAGUGGGGAAUAUUGGACAAUGGGGGAAAGCCUGAUCCAGCCAUGCCGCGUGUAAGAUGAAGGCCUUCGGGUUGUAAAGUACUUUCGGCGGAGAGGCGGUACCCGCAGAAGAAGCACCGGCUAACUCCGUGCCAGCAGCCGCGGUAAUUC
RNAcentral lists this ribosomal RNA (406 nucleotides) under uncultured bacterium. RNAcentral's name for it is "partial 16S ribosomal RNA". It matches the Rfam family "Bacterial small subunit ribosomal RNA", at positions 30 to 526 of the family's 1533-position model. The record is from RNAcentral.